AGAGUUUGAUCCUGGCUCAGAUUGAACGCUGGCGGCAUGCUUUACACAUGCAAGUCGAACGGCAGCACGGGUGCUUGCACCUGGUGGCGAGUGGCGAACGGGUGAGUAAUGCACCGGAACGUACCCAGUAAUGGGGGAUAACACAUCGAAAGAUGUGCUAAUACCGCAUACGCCCUGAGGGGGAAAGCGGGGGAUCGUAAGACCUCGCGUUAUUGGAGCGGCCGAUGCCGGAUUAGCUAGUUGGUGAGGUAAGAGCUCACCAAGGCGACGAUCCGUAGCUGGUCUGAGAGGACGACCAGCCACACUGGGACUGAGACACGGCCCAGACUCCUACGGGAGGCAGCAGUGGGGAAUUUUGGGCAAUGGGCGCAAGCCUGAUCCAGCCAUGCCGCGUGAGUGAAGAAGGCCUUCGGGUUGUAAAGCUCUUUCGCAAGGAAAGAAAACUUAUCUACUAA
RNAcentral lists this ribosomal RNA (455 nucleotides) under uncultured bacterium. Its description in RNAcentral is "bacterial SSU rRNA". It matches the Rfam family "Bacterial small subunit ribosomal RNA", at positions 8 to 463 of the family's 1533-position model. The record is from RNAcentral.